AUUUGAUUGGCUCUAUUUUAUUAUUUACUGGUUCUUUUUAGUUGCACAUGAUGAUAGAAUCCAUUUUGGUAUAAUUAUACAAGCAGGGAAUAUAUCUUAUUCUAGUUAGGACCCCAUUCUUGUCGAUGUAUGUGGUGGUGGGAUUCACUGUAAAGUUUUCACAUACGUACAUAGGAAGAUUAUGUCAGAUUCAUUCCACUACAUUUCCUUUUCCUAUCCCCCUUCCUCUGUUCCCUUUAUUCCCUAUUGUCUAAUCUAUUGAACUUCUAUUCUCCCCUGAUUUGUGGGUUAGCAUUCAUAUAUCAGAGAGAACAUUUAACCUCUGGCUUUUGGGGACUGGCUUAUUUCACUUAGCAUGAUAAUCUCCAGAUCCAUUCAUUUUCAGUGAAUAUCAUAAAGUCAUUCUUCUUUAUGGAUGAGUAAUAUUCCAUUGUGUAUAUAUACCACAAUUUAUUUGUCUAUUUAUCUGUUGAAGGGCACCUUGGUUGGUUCCAUGGCUUGGCUAUUAUGAAUUGAGCUGUUAUAAACAUUGAUGUGGCUGUAUCACUAUAGUAUGCUGAUUUUAAAUCCUUUGGGUAUAUACCAAGGAGUGGGAUAACUGGGUCAAAUGGUAGUUCCAUUCCUAGUUUUUGAGGAAUCUCCCAUACUGCUUUCCAUAAUGGUUGUACCAAUUUGCAGUCUCACCAGCAAUAUAUGAAAAUACCUUUUUCCCCACAUCUUCACCAACAUUUAUUGUUACUUGUAUUCUUGAUGAUUGCCAUUCUGAUAGGAGUGAUGAAAUCUUAGUGUAGUUUAAUUUGCAUUUCUCUAAUUGCUAGAGAUAUUGAACGUUUUUUCAUAUAUUUGUUGAUCAUCCAUAUUUCUUCUGUGAAGUGUCUGUUCAGUUCCUUUGCCCAUUUAUUGAUUUGUUUUCUGGUGUGGAUUAGUUUUUUAUAUAAUCUUUUCCUUCCCUCCCAUGGACCCGCUUUCUAUCACUGCUGAUUAGUUCAUAUUUUCAAAAGUUUUCUGUAAAUGCAAUCACAGUAUGUUCUCAUUUUUGUCCAGCUAAUUUUCAUUCAGCAUAAUUAAUUUUCUUUGUUGUUAUUGUUUUGAUACUGGGGAUUGAAUUC
Molecule: long non-coding RNA, 1109 nt
Filed under: Marmota monax (woodchuck)
Lineage: Eukaryota; Metazoa; Chordata; Mammalia; Rodentia; Sciuridae
Source: RNAcentral